This 432-nucleotide ribosomal RNA is filed under the name uncultured bacterium. RNAcentral's name for it is "partial 16S ribosomal RNA". It matches the Rfam family "Bacterial small subunit ribosomal RNA", at positions 29 to 507 of the family's 1533-position model. The record is from RNAcentral.
AACGAACGCUGGCGGCAUGCCUAACACAUGCAAGUCGAACGAGACCUUCGGGUCUAGUGGCGCACGGGUGCGUAACGCGUGGAACCUGCCCUUAGGUUCGGAAUAACUCCCCGAAAGGGGUGCUAAUACCGGAUAAUGUCUUCGGACCAAAGAUUUAUCGCCUUUGGAUGGGCCCGCGUUGGAUUAGCUAGUUGGUAGGGUAAAAGCCUACCAAGGCGACGAUCCAUAGCUGGUCUGAGAGGAUGAUCAGCCACACUGGGACUGAGACACGGCCCAGACUCCUACGGGAGGCAGCAGUGGGGAAUAUUGGACGAUGGGCGAAAGCCUGAUCCAGCAAUGCCGCGUGAGUGAUGAAGGCCUUAGGGUUGUAAAGCUCUUUUACCCGGGAUGAUAAUGACAGUACCGGGAGAAUAAGCUCCGGCUAACUCCGUG